UGAUCAUUAUUUUCAGAUGAC
RNAcentral lists this non-coding RNA (21 nucleotides) under Caenorhabditis elegans. The record is from RNAcentral. Lineage: Eukaryota; Metazoa; Nematoda; Chromadorea; Rhabditida; Rhabditidae.